UUAUAAUAUUAAUUAUUAAUUUAUUAAUUUUAUUUAAUUUUAUUAUUUAUUUAAUUUUAUUUUAAAGCGACCUCUACCCACAACGUGGGGCUCGAACUCACGACCCGAAGAUCAAGAGUCAUGUGUUCUACCGACUGAGCCAGCCAGGUGCCCCUCUAUGAUGUGAUUUUAAUCAGGUAUGGUGAGAUGUCAGACAUGGAGACAACUGCCUUCGAAAGAAGGAUUUAUAACUUGAAAUUCCCAAGGAACAGGGGCACCCCAUGCUGUGCAGAGCCAUGAAGGAAAGCACCAGCACAAGUCAGACAGAAAUAAAAAAGCACCAGCAAAAGCCUUGAUUGCAAUUUUCAGGGGAAAGAAUGAGUUUCAGAUUGGCUAGUAUGAAUAAUGGCAGCAGGCUCUAGCCCGUGGGGUGACCCCUGGUUGUCUGAUUACCUGGCCUAUGUGUGUGUGUGUGUGUGUGUGUGAGAUUAGGGCAGGGGGACUAUUGACUUGCUGCGGGAGGGUUGCAUAAAGGAGGGGUUGGGGGUGUGGGCUUUGAAUUGACCGGUUUGUAUUGGAGAGGCAUGCUGGAAGGCUAGUUGUUUACUGCCUCUAAGAAUUAGCGAGACCUGGGAGGGGCAAUCGCUCCAGGAUUUGCAAGGCCGUAAGACGUGAAAGCAUCGUAAAAUACAGAAAGCGAAAAUAUGAUUGAUACACGAGCCUAACUCUGAACUCCAGCAGAUCGACUGCUGUGUGUGUCGUGUCCCGUACACCCUGCCUGCUUUCACAGAGUUGUCGUGAGGACUCACGUUGGGGCCUGACGUCUGACCGAGAGAUACGGCUCCUACUAGCAGGAGAGCAGUCCGAGGGAAUGAACGGACGGAUGAAUUUCACUUGGCCUUGGAAUUUUAUUUGU
RNAcentral lists this long non-coding RNA (895 nucleotides) under Ursus maritimus (polar bear). RNAcentral describes it as "lncRNA (ENSUMAG00000018917.1)". Lineage: Eukaryota; Metazoa; Chordata; Mammalia; Carnivora; Ursidae. The record is from RNAcentral.